ACGCUCGACACCUACGGGGGCAGCAGUGGGGAAUAUUGCACAAUGGGGGAAACCCCGAUGCAGCGAUGCCGCGUGAAGGAAGAAGUAUCUCGGUAUGUAAACUUCUAUCAGCAGGGAAGAAAAUGACGGUACCUGACUAAGAAGCCCCGGCUAACUACGUGCAGCAGCCGCGGUAAUCUGAGCGGGCUGGCAAGGC
RNAcentral lists this ribosomal RNA (196 nucleotides) under uncultured bacterium. RNAcentral's name for it is "partial 16S ribosomal RNA". It matches the Rfam family "Bacterial small subunit ribosomal RNA", at positions 328 to 539 of the family's 1533-position model. The record is from RNAcentral.